UACGUAGGGAGCAAGCGUUGUCCGGAAUCAUUGGGCGUAAAGCGCGCGUAGGUGGCCCCAUAAGUCCGCUGUGAAAGUCAAAGGCUCAACCUUUGAAAGCCGGUGGAUACUGUGGGACUAGAGUACGGAAGAGGCGAGUGGAAUUCCUGGUGUAGCGGUGGAAUGCGCAGAUAUCAGGCGGAACACCAAUAGCGAAGGCAGCUCGCUGGGACGUUACUGACACUGAGGCGCGAAAGCGUGGGGAGCGAACAGG
Molecule: ribosomal RNA, 253 nt
Filed under: uncultured bacterium
Lineage: Bacteria
Description: partial 16S ribosomal RNA
Rfam family: Bacterial small subunit ribosomal RNA
Source: RNAcentral